GGAAUAUUGGACAAUGGGCGAAAGCCUGAUCCAGCCAUGCCGCGUGUGUGAAGAAGGUCUUCGGAUUGUAAAGCACUUUAAGUUGGGAGGAAGGGCAUUUACCUAAUACGUAAGUGUUUUGACGUUACCGACAGAAUAAGCACCGGCUAACUCUGUGCCAGCAGCCGCGGUAAUACAGAGGGUGCAAGCGUUAAUCGGAAUUACUGGGCGUAAAGCGCGCGUAGGUGGUUUGUUAAGUUGAAUGUGAAAUCCCCGGGCUCAACCUGGGAACUGCAUCCAAAACUGGCAAGCUAGAGUAUGGUAGAGGGUAGUGGAAUUUCCUGUGUAGCGGUGAAAUGCGUAGAUAUAGGAAGGAACACCAGUGGCGAAGGCGACUACCUGGACUGAUACUGACACUGAGGUGCGAAAGCGUGGGGAGCAAACAGGAUUAGAUACCCCAG
RNAcentral lists this ribosomal RNA (440 nucleotides) under uncultured Pseudomonas sp. RNAcentral describes it as "bacterial SSU rRNA". It matches the Rfam family "Bacterial small subunit ribosomal RNA", at positions 358 to 790 of the family's 1533-position model. The record is from RNAcentral. Lineage: Bacteria; Pseudomonadati; Pseudomonadota; Gammaproteobacteria; Pseudomonadales; Pseudomonadaceae.